GAUGAACGCUGGCGGCGUGCCUAAUACAUGCAAGUCGAGCGAACAGACGAGGAGCUUGCUCCUCUGACGUUAGCGGCGGACGGGUGAGUAACACGUGGAUAACCUACCUAUAAGACUGGGAUAACUUCGGGAAACCGGAGCUAAUACCGGAUAAUAUAUUGAACCGCAUGGUUCAAUAGUUAAAGACGGUUUUGCUGUCACUUAUAGAUGGAUCCGCGCCGCAUUAGCUAGUUGGUAAGGUAACGGCUUACCAAGGCAACGAUGCGUAGCCGACCUGAGAGGGUGAUCGGCCACACUGGAACUGAGACACGGUCCAGACUCCUACGGGAGGCAGCAGUAGGGAAUCUUCCGCAAUGGGCGAAAGCCUGACGGAGCAACGCCGCGUGAGUGAUGAAGGUCUUCGGAUCGUAAAACUCUGUUAUUAGGGAAGAACAAAUGUGUAAGCAACUAUGCACGUCUUGACGGUACCUAAUCAGAAAGCCACGGCUAACUACGUGC
This 498-nucleotide ribosomal RNA is filed under the name uncultured bacterium. RNAcentral's name for it is "partial 16S ribosomal RNA". It matches the Rfam family "Bacterial small subunit ribosomal RNA", at positions 28 to 508 of the family's 1533-position model. The record is from RNAcentral.